CACGAUUGGGUUAAUUAAAUAAUGAGAGGACAUCUUAUUGGACAUAUGAGCCACAGAAAGAUUUAGAUACCAUUUUCUUUUUCUGCAGCACAGAAAGAUUUGGUUAGAUAUGGUAAAAAUUAUCACCUCUUCCUUGUGCUUAAUCUUUCUGGCUUUCUCCACAGUGCAUGGAGAACCCCAAGAUACCUGCAAAAACUUGAAGUGUGGCGAUAAAGGCCCAGCUGUCCAUUUCCCUUUCAGCCUCAAAGGCAGGCACCCAGAUCACUGUGUCUUUCCUGGGUUUGUCCUGUCAUGCAAUGAGAAGCAUGAAACAAUUCUUGAGCUUCCAAUUCCAUUCAAAUUUCCAGUCAAAAGCAUAGAUUAUAAGGCUCAGGCAAUCCAAUUAUAUGACCCAGAAAGCUGUCUUCUGGUGAAGCUUUUGAAAGUCUUCAACAAGUCAAUCUCUCCCUUCCACUUCUCAAAAAAUUACAUGACUGAUCUUACCUUAUUCAAUUGCUCUUUAGCUGAGAGGCAAUUAGAUGAACAAGUCCCCUGCUUCAGUGGCCCUGGCUACCAAGUUUAUUCUGUUCUCUCUUCAUACAGCAUUGAGGUCUUGCCCCUACUGUCUUGUACAAAGAUGUAUAAUCUCUCAUCAGUUCCAUAUUAUUCAAACGACCCUGACAAUCUUUAUUUGGAGUGGUCUGAACCAAAUUGUGCACAGUGUGAGGCAAAGGGCAAGAUGUGUAGAUUGAAGAACAAUGGCACCAAAAGUGAAAUUGAAUGUGUGGACUUCAGUAAAGCAGGUACGAAAAGGAAAUGGGUGGCUACAGGUGCAUCUCUGGGUUCAUUUGUUGUGUUACUCCUAGUCGUUGCAGCCUACCGUGUCUAUAGUUCUGAUAGAAAAGAAAAGGAGGAUCAGUUAAAGAUUGAAAGAUUUUUAGACGAUUACAGAGCUCUCAAACCUAGCAGAUAUUCAUAUGCAGAUAUUAAGAGGAUUACAAAUGACUUCAAGGACAAGUUAGGGGAAGGAGCCUACGGAACUGUUUAUAAAGGAAUUCUUUCUUCUGAACUCUUUGUUGCUGUGAAAGUCCUCAAUAGUUCUAAGGGAGAUGGGGAAGAGUUCAUCACUGAAGUGGUAACACUGGGUCAUAUCCACCAUGUCAAUGUCAUUCGCUUGGUUGGCUUUUGCGCUGAUGGAUUUAGACGAGCUCUUGUUUAUGAGUUCUUACCAAAUGGUUCACUGCAGGAUUUCAUUUCAUCACCAGACAAUAAGAACAGUUUCCCUGGUUGGGAUAAGAUGCAAGAUAUUGCUCUAGCCAUAGCCAAAGGAAUUGAAUAUCUUCAGCAAGGAUGCGAUCAGCGAAUCCUCCAUUUUGACAUCAAACCUUAUAACAUUUUGCUAGACAACAAUUUCACUCCAAAGAUUUCUGAUUUUGGUUUAGCCAAGUUAUGUUCCAAGGAUCAAAGCAUAGUGUCAAUGACUACAGCUAGGGGCACCAUGGGCUACAUUGCACCUGAAGUGUUCUCCAGGAACUUUGGAAAUGUGUCCUAUAGUUUUGGAAUGUUACUGCUUGAGAUGGUAGGAGGAAGGAAGAAUGUCGGUUCAGCCACGGAGAACACAAAUGAAAUCUACUAUCCCGAAUGGAUUUAUAAUCUUCUAGAAGAAGGAGAUGACCUACGCAUCCAUAUCGGUGAAGAAGGAGAAGGUAAAAUUCCAAAGAAACUUGCAAUUGUAGGGCUCUGGUGCAUCCGGUGGCAUCCAGGGGAUCGUCCUUCAAUGAAAGCUGUGAUUCAGAUGUUGGAAGGAGGAGAAAGCUUAACCAUGCCUCCCAAUCCCUUUGCCUCUACAGGUGCUGCAGGAACCAAUGCAAGUGCGGCUGCAAGAAAUCUAAACAUUCAGUUAGAAGCAAUUCCUGAGUUGGAGUAACAUGUGUUCUUAUACAUAGUUCUUGAUGUUUGUACUUGACUAGCACAUGCCUCAUGGUCCAGCACUACAUAGAAUUUAGAAAUAGGGGCGUUUCAAUGACCCUAACACUGGACCUAUUGCACCACCCAAAUCACUGGCUGCCAAAUCCAAUAUUAUGCAUCACUUGUGCGCAUAAACUAUUGUGUAACAAUCUUGCUUCAAGUCCUUCACCAGCUUCCAUAAAAUUGCCGUUGUCCUGCUUGCUUCAUCAUGUGAUCCUUGAAGUUUUAAAGUUCCCCAAUAAUGUAUCUUGCAGAAAUAUUGUUCUUCUAGUAUUUUAGAGAGUAUCAUGGAAGCCUAACAUACAAGAGUUUAAAGAAUCUCGGCCCUCCCCGUGCAACCCCAGUUGAUUGAGAGAUUAAUUUUGAGAGUUCUCUAGCUUCCAUGACCUUUGGCCUCUUCCAUUAGAAAGAUUUCAUCACGAAGGUCAAUUAUUAGACACAAUUUCAAUUGAGCUGACCGUCGGAGAGUCUUUGAUGAAAAACAGAAACAACUGGUGAAGGUAAAUUUUAAAAUGGGGUCAAUUUAAGAUCGCAUCAUUGUGGUUUGGGCGUGCACACACUGAUUCAUGUCUCUUCAAACUUGGAAAACAAAAAGUUAUACCUCAUUACUCUGACACUCUGAACACCAUUUUCGGCUUUGUACGAAACAAGUCUAUUAUAAAUGUGAUACGCUCUGUUUCUUUUUU
This is an RNA transcript of Prunus persica (peach), 2633 nucleotides long. It is a transcript of the gene named rust resistance kinase Lr10, with no coding region annotated. The transcript is spliced from 4 exons. NCBI's taxonomy places the organism in Eukaryota, Viridiplantae, Streptophyta, Magnoliopsida, Rosales, Rosaceae. The record is from RefSeq and is a predicted model, not a curated record.